Molecule: ribosomal RNA, 901 nt
Filed under: uncultured Bacillota bacterium
Lineage: Bacteria; Bacillati; Bacillota
Description: bacterial SSU rRNA
Rfam family: Bacterial small subunit ribosomal RNA
Source: RNAcentral
GGAUCCAGACUUUGAUCAUGGCUCAGGACGAACGCUGGCGGCGCGCCUAACACAUGCAAGUCGAACGGAGCUUAGAGAGCUUGCUUUUUAAGCUUAGUGGCGAACGGGUGAGUAACGCGUGAGUAACCUGCCCUAGAGUGGGGGACAACAGUUGGAAACGACUGCUAAUACCGCAUAAGCCCACGGUACCGCAUGGUACUGAGGGAAAAGGAUUUAUUCGCUUUAGGAUGGACUCGCGUCCAAUUAGCUAGUUGGUGGGGUAACGGCCCACCAAGGCGACGAUUGGUAGCCGGACUGAGAGGUUGAACGGCCACAUUGGGACUGAGACACGGCCCAGACUCCUACGGGAGGCAGCAGUGGGGGAUAUUGCACAAUGGGGGAAACCCUGAUGCAGCGACGCCGCGUGGAGGAAGAAGGUUUUCGGAUUGUAAACUCCUGUCGUUAGGGACGAUAAUGACGGUACCUAACAAGAAAGCACCGGCUAACUACGUGCCAGCAGCCGCGGUAAAACGUAGGGUGCAAGCGUUGUCCGGAAUUACUGGGUGUAAAGGGAGCGCAGGCGGGAAGACAAGUUGGAAGUGAAAACCAUGGGCUCAACCCAUGAAUUGCUUUCAAAACUGUUUUUCUUGAGUAGUGCAGAGGUAGAUGGAAUUCCCGGUGUAGCGGUGGAAUGCGUAGAUAUCGGGAGGAACACCAGUGGCGAAGGCGGUCUACUGGGCACCAACUGACGCUGAGGCUCGAAAGCAUGGGUAGCAAACAGGAUUAGAUACCCUGGUAGUCCAUGCCGUAAACGAUGAUUACUAGGUGUUGGGGGAUUGACCCCCUCAGUGCCGCAGUUAACACAAUAAGUAAUCCACCUGGGGAGUACGACCGCAAGGUUGCAACUCAAAUGAAUUGACGG